CGUGUAGGCGGACUGGAAAGUCAGGUGUGAAAUCCCUGGGCUCAACCUAGGAACUGCACUUGAAACUGCCAGUCUGGAGUGCCGGAGAGGGAAGCGGAAUUCCUGGUGUAGAGGUGAAAUUCGUAGAUAUCAGGAGGAACACCGGUGGCGAAGGCGGCUUCCUGGACGGUUACUGACGCUGAGACGCGAAAGCGUGGGGAGCAAACAGGAUUAGAUACCCUGGUAGUCCC
Molecule: ribosomal RNA, 230 nt
Filed under: uncultured bacterium
Lineage: Bacteria
Description: partial 16S ribosomal RNA
Rfam family: Bacterial small subunit ribosomal RNA
Source: RNAcentral